This 155-nucleotide ribosomal RNA is filed under the name uncultured bacterium. RNAcentral's name for it is "partial 16S ribosomal RNA". It matches the Rfam family "Bacterial small subunit ribosomal RNA", at positions 355 to 507 of the family's 1533-position model. The record is from RNAcentral.
UGAGGAAUAUUGGUCAAUGGACGCAAGUCUGAACCAGCCAUGCCGCGUGCAGGAUGACGGCUCUAUGAGUUGUAAACUGCUUUUGUACGAGGGUAAACGCAGAUACGUGUAUCUGUCUGAAAGUAUCGUACGAAUAAGGAUCGGCUAACUCCGUG